GGAAACCGGAGCUAAUACCGGAUAAUAUAUUGAACCGCAUGGUUCAAUAGUGAAAGACGGUUUUGCUGUCACUUAUAGAUGGAUCCGCGCUGCAUUAGCUAGUUGGUAAGGUAACGGCUUACCAAGGCAACGAUGCGUAGCCGACCUGAGAGGGUGAUCGGCCACACUGGAACUGAGACACGGUCCAG
RNAcentral lists this ribosomal RNA (188 nucleotides) under uncultured Staphylococcus sp. RNAcentral describes it as "partial 16S ribosomal RNA". It matches the Rfam family "Bacterial small subunit ribosomal RNA", at positions 152 to 334 of the family's 1533-position model. The record is from RNAcentral. Lineage: Bacteria; Bacillati; Bacillota; Bacilli; Caryophanales; Staphylococcaceae.